Molecule: ribosomal RNA, 970 nt
Filed under: Picipes sp.
Lineage: Eukaryota; Fungi; Basidiomycota; Agaricomycetes; Polyporales; Polyporaceae
Description: partial large subunit ribosomal RNA
Rfam family: Eukaryotic large subunit ribosomal RNA
Source: RNAcentral
CGACUUAAGCAUAUCAAUAAGCGGAGGAAAAGAAACUAACAAGGAUUCCCCUAGUAACUGCGAGUGAAGCGGGAAAAGCUCAAAUUUAAAAUCUGACGGUUUUGGCCCGUCCGAGUUGUAGUCUGGAGAAGUGCUUUCCGUGCUGGACCGUGUACAAGUCUCUUGGAACAGAGCGUCAUAGAGGGUGAGAAUCCCGUCUCUGACACGGACUGCCAGUGCUUUGUGAUGCGCUCUCAAAGAGUCGAGUUGUUUGGGAAUGCAGCUCAAAAUGGGUGGUAAAUUCCAUCUAAAGCUAAAUAUUGGCGAGAGACCGAUAGCGAACAAGUACCGUGAGGGAAAGAUGAAAAGCACUUUGGAAAGAGAGUUAAACAGUACGUGAAAUUGCUGAAAGGGAAACGCUUAAAGUCAGUCGCGUCGUUCGGAACUCAGCCUUGCUUUCUGCUUGGUGCACUUUCUGAAUGACGGGCCAGCAUCGAUUUUGAUCGUCGGAAAAGGGCUGAGGGAAUGUGGCACCUCCGGGUGUGUUAUAGCCUUCAGUCGCACACGGCGGUUGGGAUCGAGGCACGCAGCGCGCCGAAAGGCAGGGGUUCGCCCACUUUCGCGCUUAGGAUGCUGGCGUAAUGGCUUUAAACGACCCGUCUUGAAACACGGACCAAGGAGUCUAACAUGCCUGCGAGUGUUUGGGUGGAAAACCCGAGCGCGUAAUGAAAGUGAAAGUUGAGACCUCUGUCGUGGAGGGCAUCGACGCCCGGACCUGACGUUCUCUGACGGAUCCGCGGUGGAGCAUGUAUGUUGGGACCCGAAAGAUGGUGAACUAUGCCUGAAUAGGGUGAAGCCAGAGGAAACUCUGGUGGAGGCUCGUAGCGAUUCUGACGUGCAAAUCGAUCGUCAAAUUUGGGUAUAGGGGCGAAAGACUAAUCGAACCAUCUAGUAGCUGGUUCCUGCGAUCCCUCUCUCUCUUCCUGUUUUA